Molecule: long non-coding RNA, 3208 nt
Filed under: Olea europaea subsp. europaea
Lineage: Eukaryota; Viridiplantae; Streptophyta; Magnoliopsida; Lamiales; Oleaceae
Source: RNAcentral
GUCAUUUUAAAAGUAACUUUGUUUUUAUAAAAAUGAAAUAAUUACUCAUUAACUUAUUUAUAUACAAAAUACAAUAAGGAAAUUUUUUAGCCUAACCAAAUUUUAUAAUACUGCGCCCUGGAUAACAGAAAUCUUUGCUUUUAAUUUUUUAUUUUUUAAUGCUGCUCUCUUGUAGCAUAGGUGCACUUGCAUGUACAAUUUUCUACAAUCGUCGCAGACAUUAAUCUAUAGACAUCCACUUUCCUAUUUCUCUAGCCUUAUUGAUCAGUGCUUUUCGUUAAAGAAUCCCGCAAAAUUUUCAAAAUCCAUUCAUGCUCAGUUGAUAAAAUUAUCUUUUAAUACGAAUACUUUUUUGGGCAAUCGCUUUAUUGAGCUUUAUCUAAAAUCUGGGUCUGCAAAUGACGCUCUAAGGGCUUUUCAUGAAUUACCCGACAAAAAUGUUUUCUCUUGGAAUUUGUACUUGAAAGUGUUCGUCAAAUGCUUUGACAUGCUAAUGGCGCGUCAAGUGUUUGAUGAAAUGCCUGAAAGGGAUGUUGUGAGUUGGAAUUCGAUGAUAUCGGGGUAUGUUUCAGGUGGAUUUUUGGAGAAUGCACAAGACAUGUUUUUGGAAAUGCAAAACAGUGGCGUUAAACCAAGUAGCUUCACGUUUUCAACUUUGAUUUCUUGCGUGAAAUGUGCCGAUUAUGGAAAGCAAAUGCAUGGCAAUAUCACAAGGAAUGGUUUUGAUUAUUCAAAUUUGGUGGUUGGAAAUGCAUUAAUAGAUUUGUAUGGAAAGCUUGGUUUAGUGGAUUAUGCGGUUGGUGUGUUUUUUACUAUGCCAAAAGUGGAUGUGAUUUCUUGGAAUUCUUUGAUUUCUGGCUGUUGUAAAUCUGGUUAUGAAAAACCUGCAUUAAGUCAUUUCUGCUCAAUGAGAGGUAAGGGGCAUAAAGCUGAUGAGUAUACGAUGUCGGCAGUGCUUACUGCUUGCACUAAUUUGCAGAAUUUGGAAGCAGGUAAAAGUAUUUUAUGUCUUUGCAUGAAGAUGGGGUUUCUUUGGAAUACAAUUGUUUCUAGUGCAGCCAUUGAUCUGUUUUCCAAAUGCAACAGAAUGAAGGAUGCAAUUUGCUUGUUCGAUGAGUCAAAUAUAUUUGAUUCAGCUCUUUCCAAUUCGAUGAUCGCUUGCUAUGCAAGGAAUGGAUUAAUGGAGAAUGCACUGGAACUUUUUGUCCUUGCAUUAAGGGAGAAUAUCAGACCAACGGAAUUCACACUCAGCUGUGUUGUUGGAUCUGCUGCUGUCUUCCUUCCGUCGGAGCAGGGGAGUCAGGUCCAUUCUUUGGUGGUCAAAUCAGGAUUUGAAUCGGACGAUGUUGUUGCCAGUUCACUAGUUGAAAUGUAUGGUAAGUAUGGGUUAAUCGACUCUGCCUUGAAUAUCUUUUCUAAUAUGAGUACAAAAGAUUUGAUAUCUUGGAAUACUAUGAUAAUGGGAUUGGCUUACAAUGGCAAAGCAAUCGAAUCCCUUAGCAUUUUUGAGGAACUACUUGAAAGUGGUUUACAUCCCGAUCAUAUAACACUUUCUGGUAUUCUUUUAGCCUGCAAUUACGGUGGCCUUCCUGAGGAAGGGAUGGCCAUUUUUUCUUCGAUGGAAAAGGAAUAUGGAAUUACUCCAAGAAACGAGCAUUAUGCUUAUGUUGUAGAUACGAUCAUGAGGGCAGGUAACAUUGAAGAUGCAAUUUCAAUAUUAGAAACAAUGCCACUCAGUGCUGCUCUUUUUUCGGAAUCUGUGCUUCGAACUUGUGGACAUCUUGAAAACCUGGAACUAAUUGAAAGAGUCACAAAGAGGAUGAUGGAGUUGGAACCACAAUCAUCUCUUCCUUACUUGGUGUUGGCCCACGCAUAUGAACAAAGGGGUAAAUGGGAGAGCCUUGUACGAGUUAGGAAAGUGAUGGAGAAGAUGCCGACAAAGAAAGUAGUUGGCUGCAGUUGGAUUGGAUUAAAAGACCAUGUCUAUGCUUUUGAAGCAAACCAAAUGAUUCAGCAUGGUGGAAAGGAUGUUUAUUUAAUUUUGAAAUUAUUGAUGCAAGAAGUGCAGGAAGAAAACAAUCCUUUGCAGAUUAUUGACAUAAGAGAGUAGAGAUUGUGCCAUGUUGUUCAUUGACAUGGCUAUCCAUACAGUUUGGCAUCUUUCUGUAGUCACGAUCUUGGCAAAACUCGUGCACUUGGAAUAAAGGUGGUGAUUUGUCGAAUCAAUUCUGCACGAGACUCAAAACAGGCUACUAGUGUGAGAUCUGAGCGUAUUCGAGACGAAAUUAAGUGGUUGACAUGAAAUGAGACUUCAUAGCUAUAAUAUGGAAGAAAAUAAAGGCGUGUCAGUGUCAUUGUUUGCAGUAAAUAUUGCAUGGAUGACUUAUGGGAUUUCAACUGGAAGAGGAUGAAAGAUUUCUGUUUCUAGGGGAUUUACUAGCCAACUCUCGCAUAUUGUUCUGAUUCAGACUGCUUUGAAAAUGGCUCAGGUGCUUUGCGGCUAUGCUUUUAGUAAUUUGGAAUGCAUAAUCAGUUCAAUUCUUGAUGCUAAAUUUUUGUUUUAACUGGUUUCAUAGUGCAGGAACAUCUGAAUUCGUGGAAAGCAUAAACGCGCACGAGGAAAGAGAGAUUUAUAGUGAUUCACUCACAAUGUGGCAGGUGCUGAUAUGAUCCAGGAGAAUUACAAGCCCUUCGUUAUAUGUUGCUAGAUCUAGCAAAGGAACUUAAAAGAGACCUUCAGAGAGAAUGCUGAUGGUGUAAAUGUGUAAUGCCCUGAACCCGUUUGACUUAUCACAUGGUUGUUAGGGUUACAGCCGUAAUCCCAAUCCUGAAAGCAAUUAUGGAGAAAUGGAAAACAUAAACGCACGCUCGGAACCAGAAAUUUAUAGUGUUUCACUCUCACCUCUGCUGAUUUUUCACCAUGAUCAAGGAGAAUUACUAGUUCCGACUUCUAACAUACUGAAAAGACGUCCCCCUCAGAUUCUUAUUUGUAGUGUCAAUUCAGAUAAAAGUAGAGGUGUACUUGGGCUGCAAUGGCUUAAAGAAUCUUGAUUUUCCUGGUUCUUGAAGAUUGUUGGAUGUCAAAUUCUCAGUAUAGUCAUCCUAAGUCUUAAAAAACCAUCAAGUUUAAUUUAUACAAGCUAUGCGGACCCAUUAGUCCUUUCUUUUGUUGCGUUAAGCCCCCGUUAUCAUUUACUUUACAUUCUUU